GACGAACGCUGGCGGCGUGCUUAACACAUGCAAGUCGAACGGAAAGGCCCUGCUUUUGUGGGGUGCUCGAGUGGCGAACGGGUGAGUAACACGUGAGUAACCUGCCCUUGACUUUGGGAUAACUUCAGGAAACUGGGGCUAAUACCGGAUAGGAGCUCCUGCUGCAUGGUGGGGGUUGGAAAGUUUCGGCGGUUGGGGAUGGACUCGCGGCUUAUCAGCUUGGUGGUGGGGUAGUGGCUUACCAAGGCUUUGACGGGUAGCCGGCCUGAGAGGGUGACCGGCCACAUUGGGACUGAGAUACGGCCCAGACUCCUACGGGAGGCAGCAGUGGGGAAUAUUGCACAAUGGGCGGAAGCCUGAUGCAGCAACGCCGCGUGCGGGAUGACGGCCUUCGGGCUGUAAACCGCUUUCGCCUGUGACGAAGCGUGAGUGACGGUAAUGGGUAAAGAAGCACCGGCUAACUACGUG
Molecule: ribosomal RNA, 468 nt
Filed under: uncultured bacterium
Lineage: Bacteria
Description: partial 16S ribosomal RNA
Rfam family: Bacterial small subunit ribosomal RNA
Source: RNAcentral